UACGUAGGGGGCAAGCGUUGUCCGGAAUCAUUGGGCGUAAAGAGCGUGUAGGCGGCUCGAUAAGUCUGCUGUGAAAGCCCAGGGCUCAACCCUGGAAGGCCGGUGGAAACUGUCGGGCUAGAGUCCGGAAGAGGCGAGUGGAAUUCCUGGUGUAGCGGUGAAAUGCGCAGAUAUCAGGAGGAACACCGGUGGCGAAGGCGGGUCUCUGGGCAACAACUGACGCUGAGGAGCGAAAGCGUGGGGAGCGAACAGG
Molecule: ribosomal RNA, 253 nt
Filed under: uncultured bacterium
Lineage: Bacteria
Description: partial 16S ribosomal RNA
Rfam family: Bacterial small subunit ribosomal RNA
Source: RNAcentral